UAAACGACUCUCGGCAACGGAUAUCUCGGCUCUCGCAUCGAUGAAGAACGUAGCGAAAUGCGAUACUUGGUGUGAAUUGCAGAAUCCCGUGAACCAUCGAGUCUUUGAACGCAAGUUGCGCCCUAAGCCAUUUGGCCGAGGGCACGUCUGCCUGGGCGUCAAUC
This 164-nucleotide ribosomal RNA is filed under the name Tetrapteron graciliflorum. RNAcentral describes it as "5.8S ribosomal RNA". It matches the Rfam family "5.8S ribosomal RNA". From Rfam's summary of the family: 5.8S ribosomal RNA (5.8S rRNA) is a component of the large subunit of the eukaryotic ribosome. It is transcribed by RNA polymerase I as part of the 45S precursor that also contains 18S and 28S rRNA. Lineage: Eukaryota; Viridiplantae; Streptophyta; Magnoliopsida; Myrtales; Onagraceae. RNAcentral also lists the same sequence under 2 other names. The record is from RNAcentral.